RNAcentral lists this ribosomal RNA (492 nucleotides) under uncultured bacterium. Its description in RNAcentral is "partial 16S ribosomal RNA". It matches the Rfam family "Bacterial small subunit ribosomal RNA", at positions 29 to 507 of the family's 1533-position model. The record is from RNAcentral.
AGUGAACGCUGGCGGUAGGCCUAACACAUGCAAGUCGAACGGCAGCACAGUAAGAGCUUGCUCUUACGGGUGGCGAGUGGCGGACGGGUGAGGAAUACAUCGGAAUCUACUUUUUCGUGGGGGAUAACGUAGGGAAACUUACGCUAAUACCGCAUACGACCUACGGGUGAAAGCAGGGGAUCUUCGGACCUUGCGCGAUUGAAUGAGCCGAUGUCGGAUUAGCUAGUUGGCGGGGUAAAGGCCCACCAAGGCGACGAUCCGUAGCUGGUCUGAGAGGAUGAUCAGCCACACUGGAACUGAGACACGGUCCAGACUCCUACGGGAGGCAGCAGUGGGGAAUAUUGGACAAUGGGCGCAAGCCUGAUCCAGCCAUACCGCGUGGGUGAAGAAGGCCUUCGGGUUGUAAAGCCCUUUUGUUGGGAAAGAAAAGCAGCAGGUUAAUACCCCGCUGUCCUGACGGUACCCAAAGAAUAAGCACCGGCUAACUUUGUG